UGGGGAAUUUUGGACAAUGGGCGAAAGCCUGAUCCAGCAAUGCCGCGUGUGUGAAGAAGGCCUUCGGGUUGUAAAGCACUUUUGUCCGGAAAGAAAUCCUUGGCUCUAAUACAGUCGGGGGAUGACGGUACCGGAAGAAUAAGCACCGGCUAACUACGUGCCAGCAGCCGCGGUAAUACGUAGGGUGCAAGCGUUAAUCGGAAUUACUGGGCGUAAAGCGUGCGCAGGCGGUUUGCUAAGACCGAUGUGAAAUCCCCGGGCUCAACCUGGGAACUGCAUUGGUGACUGGCAGGCUAGAGUAUGGCAGAGGGGGGUAGAAUUCCACGUGUAGCAGUGAAAUGCGUAGAGAUGUGGAGGAAUACCGAUGGCGAAGGCAGCCCCCUGGCAAGUACUGACGCUCAUGCACGAAAGCGUGGGGAGCAAACNGGAUUAAUACCCUGGUAGUCCACGCCCUAAANGAUGUCAACUAGUUGUUGGGGAUUCAUUUCCUUAGUAACGUAGCUAACGCGUGAAGUUGACCGCCUGGGGAGUACGGUCGCAAGAUUAAAACUCAAGGAAUUGACGGGGUCAUGCUGUUUCCU
RNAcentral lists this ribosomal RNA (581 nucleotides) under uncultured bacterium. Its description in RNAcentral is "partial 16S ribosomal RNA". It matches the Rfam family "Bacterial small subunit ribosomal RNA", at positions 355 to 932 of the family's 1533-position model. The record is from RNAcentral.